UACAGAGGGUGCAAGCGUUAAUCGGCCUUACUGGUCGUCCAGCUCACUUCGGCGGUUUUCUAAGUCUGCUGUGAAAGCCCCGGGCUCAACCUGGGAAUUGCAGUGGAUACUGGCAAGCUAGAGUUUGGUAGAGGGAAGUGGAAUUCCAGGUGUAGCGGUGAAAUGCGUAGAUAUCUGGAGGAACAUCAGUGGCGAAGGCGACUUCCUGGCCCAAAACUGACGCUGAGGCACGAAAGCGUGGGGAGCAAACAGG
Molecule: ribosomal RNA, 253 nt
Filed under: uncultured bacterium
Lineage: Bacteria
Description: partial 16S ribosomal RNA
Rfam family: Bacterial small subunit ribosomal RNA
Source: RNAcentral